This is a long non-coding RNA of Gopherus flavomarginatus (Mexican gopher tortoise), 564 nucleotides long. RefSeq lists it as uncharacterized. The transcript is spliced from 3 exons. Lineage: Eukaryota; Metazoa; Chordata; Testudines; Testudinidae. The record is from RefSeq and is a predicted model, not a curated record.
GGCGCGGGGGUCGAGUGGUCCUGGGGCGCGAAGGCUCGGACGUCCCCCCACCCCCACAGCUGGGACUCCCGGGGAGACAGACCCACACACCGGGGCUUGGGGGGGCGGUACUGCCCCCCGAAACUGGUCAUUACAAACUUGUCUGCACUUUUAUUGAAUUUUACGAUAUACUUAAUCACACACAAGAUGCUUGCAGAAUAUCGUAACUUACAUGCUCAUGUAUCAGAUGUUCGAGCUAGCCAACAGGAGCAGCAAAUGGAGGUUUUGCGAGACAGUUCUCCAAAAGAGAGGAAGUAACUAUAUGACCCUAGGGAAACUGUCCAGUUUGGCCAACGUACAUAGGAGAGGGGCAUUGCUGGCAUAUGAUGGCGUCUAUUACAUUGGUGGACGUGCAGGUGAAUGAACCGGUGAUGGUGUGGCUGAUCUGGUUAGGUCCUGUGAGGGUGUCGCUGGUGUAUAUAUGUGGGCAGAGUUGGCAUCGAGGUUUGUUGCUUGGAUUGGUUUCUGAGCUAGUUAGUAUGAUGCGGUGUGCAGUUACUGAUGAGAAUAUGUUUCAGGUUGGCA